GUGCCAGCAGCCGCGGUAAGACGAACCGUGCGAACGUUGUUCGGAAUCACUGGGCUUAAAGGGUGCGUAGGCGGGCGAUCAAGUCAGGGGUGAAAUCCUCCAGCUUAACUGGAGAACUGCCUUUGAUACUGGUCAUCUUGAGUGAGGUAGGGGCGUGCGGAACUGAUGGUGGAGCGGUGAAAUGUGUUGAUAUCAUCAGGAACUCCGGUGGCGAAAGCGGCGCGCUGGACCUUUACUGACGCUGAGGCACGAAAGCCAGGGGAGCGAACGGGAUUAGAUACCCCCGUAGUCC
RNAcentral lists this ribosomal RNA (292 nucleotides) under uncultured bacterium. RNAcentral describes it as "partial 16S ribosomal RNA". It matches the Rfam family "Bacterial small subunit ribosomal RNA", at positions 505 to 796 of the family's 1533-position model. The record is from RNAcentral.